This 338-nucleotide unclassified non-coding RNA is filed under the name soil metagenome. RNAcentral's name for it is "partial contains 5.8S ribosomal RNA, internal transcribed spacer 2, and large subunit ribosomal RNA". The stretch from base 1 to 120 matches the Rfam family "5.8S ribosomal RNA", at positions 35 to 154 of the family's 154-position model. The record is from RNAcentral.
GAUGAAGAACGCAGCGAAAUGCGAUAAGUAAUGUGAAUUGCAGAAUUCAGUGAAUCAUCGAAUCUUUGAACGCACAUUGCGCCCGGUAGUAUUCUGCCGGGCAUGCCUGUUCGAGCGUCAUUUCAACCAUCAAGCCCCAGCGCUUGUGUUGGGGGCCUGCGGCUGCCGCAGCCCCCUAAAAGCAGUGGCGGGCUCGCUAUCACACCGAGUGCAGUAGUUCAGCUUCUCUCCGGUCUUGUGAGGCGGGUUCCGGCCGUGAAACACCCCACUACAUUCAAGGUUGACCUCGGAUCAGGUAGGAAUACCCGCUGAACUUAAGCAUAUCAAUAAGCGGAGGA